This 527-nucleotide ribosomal RNA is filed under the name uncultured bacterium. Its description in RNAcentral is "bacterial SSU rRNA". It matches the Rfam family "Bacterial small subunit ribosomal RNA", at positions 777 to 1304 of the family's 1533-position model. The record is from RNAcentral.
AAUAGAUACCCUGGUAGUCCACGCCGUAAACGAUGUUGACUUGGAGGUUGUUCCCUUGAGGAGUGGCUUCCGGAGCUAACGCGUUAAGUCGACCGCCUGGGGAGUACGGCCGCAAGGUUAAAACUCAAAUGAAUUGACGGGGGCCCGCACAAGCGGUGGAGCAUGUGGUUUAAUUCGAUGCAACGCGAAGAACCUUACCUACUCUUGACAUCCAGAGAACUUAGCAGAGAUGCUUUGGUGCCUUCGGGAACUCUGAGACAGGUGCUGCAUGGCUGUCGUCAGCUCGUGUUGUGAAAUGUUGGGUUAAGUCCCGCAACGAGCGCAACCCUUAUCCUUUGUUGCCAGCGGUUCGGCCGGGAACUCAAAGGAGACUGCCAGUGAUAAACUGGAGGAAGGUGGGGAUGACGUCAAGUCAUCAUGGCCCUUACGAGUAGGGUUACACACGUGCUACAAUGGCGUAUACAAAGAGAAGCGACCUCGCGAGAGCAAGCGGACCUCAUAAAGUACGUCGUAGUCCGGAUUGGAGU